This 308-nucleotide unclassified non-coding RNA is filed under the name uncultured Hypocreales. RNAcentral's name for it is "sequence contains ITS1". The stretch from base 1 to 105 matches the Rfam family "5.8S ribosomal RNA", at positions 50 to 154 of the family's 154-position model. Lineage: Eukaryota; Fungi; Ascomycota; Sordariomycetes; Hypocreales. The record is from RNAcentral.
GAAAUGCGAUAAGUAAUGUGAAUUGCAGAAUUCAGUGAAUCAUCGAAUCUUUGAACGCACAUUGCGCCCGCCAGUAUUCUGGCGGGCAUGCCUGUUCGAGCGUCAUUUCAACCCUCAGGCCCCGCCUGGCGUUGGGGAUCGGCGCGGCCCUCUCCGGGCUGCCGGCCCCGAAAACUAGUGGCGGUCUCGCUGUAGUCCUCCUCUGCGCAGUAGCAACGCUCGCACUGGAACUCGGCGCGGCCACGCCGUAAAACACCCCACUUCUGAAAGUUGACCUCGGAUCAGGUAGGAAUACCCGCUGAACUUAA